This 285-nucleotide unclassified non-coding RNA is filed under the name plant metagenome. Its description in RNAcentral is "partial contains small subunit ribosomal RNA and internal transcribed spacer 1". The stretch from base 1 to 46 matches the Rfam family "Eukaryotic small subunit ribosomal RNA", at positions 1786 to 1831 of the family's 1831-position model. The record is from RNAcentral.
AAGUCGUAACAAGGUUUCCGUAGGUGAACCUGCGGAAGGAUCAUUAUUGGAUCAUUGACGGUCCGGACAGAGGUUGUUGUUGGCCUUAUUAGGUAUGUGCACACCUUGACUGGACUUGUCUACAAUGUCCCUUUACACACCAUGUGCACAUCUGUAGCUGAGGGAUGAUUACGGAGUUGCCAUUCGGUUGACUCUGAAUGCUCUCGCUAUGUUCAUACUAUACAUACGCAUAUAAUGUCAUCUGGAAUGUUUGUCUAGCGUGUAACAGCGCGAAUUGCAAUACAA